RNAcentral lists this ribosomal RNA (418 nucleotides) under uncultured bacterium. Its description in RNAcentral is "bacterial SSU rRNA". It matches the Rfam family "Bacterial small subunit ribosomal RNA", at positions 355 to 774 of the family's 1533-position model. The record is from RNAcentral.
UGGGGAAUCUUGCGCAAUGGCCGAAAGGCUGACGCAGCGACGCCGCGUGGAGGAUGACGCCCUUCGGGGUGUAAACUCCUGUUGCCCGGGACGAAUACCCGUUUCGACGGGGGUGACGGUACCGGGUGAGGAAGCACCGGCUAACUCUGUGCCAGCAGCCGCGGUAAUACAGAGGGUGCGAGCGUUGUCCGGAAUCACUGGGCGUAAAGGGCGCGUAGGCGGCUGGGUAAGCGUGUGGUGAAAGCCCGGGGCUCAACCCCGGGUCGGCCAUGCGAACUGUCCAGCUGGAGCACGGUAGAGNCACAUGGAAUUCCGGGUGUAGCGGUGGAAUGCGUAGAGAUCCGGAAGAACACCGGUGGCGAAGGCGGUGUGCUGGGCCGUGGCUGACGCUGAGGCGCGACAGCGUGGGGAGCAAACA